CUCCCGGGUUCAAACGAUUCUUCUGCCUCAGCCUCUUGAGUUGCUGGGAUUACAGGCACCAGUCACCACGCCCAGCUAAUUUUUGUAUUUUUAGUAGAGGCGGGGUUUCACCAUGUUGGCCAGGCUGGUCUUGAACUCCUGACCUCGAGAUCCGCCUGGCUCAGCGUCCCAAAAUUCUGGGAUUACAGGUGUGAGCCACCGUGUCUGGCUGCAAUUUUUAAUAUUUGACUGUUCCCAGCCUUUGUGAGUUUCCUCCUUUGCCUGUGAAGAGAAUAUCGUCUUUGAUGCAUGCAACUUCACAGUCCACAAGGUGACUCAGCCUUCAUCAAAUGAUUUCCUGCAAUUUUUAAAAAAUGCUGAAUUGAAGAAUUUUCCUAUGAUGAGGGAGAGAUGAGAAGUAAAGGCAAGGACUUGAUGAGAAAGGCCCAAAAGAGCUGCAUAAGAAGGAGAGGGAGGAAAAAGCCACCUGGGUACGGAAAGUGCCUGGAGAAGGAGGAGAGAGACUCCUCUGAGUGUGGGGAAGACAAGUCUGUUGGCAACGAGAGGCUCUGCAGAAUACAGGAGCACUAGCCAGGAGAGGAAGAAGAGGACACACCCCUCCCUACCCUUUCCAGCCUCUGGUAACCAUCCUUCUACUCUCUAUCCCGGUGGGGUACAGAUGUUGUCCUGUGACGCCUGUCCCCACUUCGUGCACGGAGCGGACUGCCCAGCAUGCACAGAUGGAAUGGGAACAACUGCAAUGACCACCUUCGGAAGAGUGAGCCUGGGAGGCCCCCUGGAGCCCCAACUUGGGGCGGAGGCUGGUGACCUGUCAGCCACUCUCAGACAGUCCCACCCUAUGGCCUGAAAGGGUGGUGGCCAGGUAGGUGGUUGACUUUCCUCCCUGCCCCCUCUUCCUUAUUCAGUGUUAAAGAGCUAGCAUUUGAGGGUGGCCUCGGGUGACAAAUUCCCCACUGUUAAAACCCCCUGUGGGUUGGCAGCAGCCAGGAAGAACCGGCUUUUUGUCUGGGAGUAGAGGCAAGGGCGAUGGCUUAUCUCACUGUUCCUUUUCAUUUGGGACAUAAUACAUCCCACAAAGCUCAGGUCCCGCACUGAAAAAAUCAAUUACAUUGCACAGCAUUUUUAGUGCUCUGAGUCUCCGAGCAAAGGAAAUAGGUG
This 1158-nucleotide long non-coding RNA is filed under the name Homo sapiens (human). RNAcentral's name for it is "HSALNT0124170". The record is from RNAcentral. Lineage: Eukaryota; Metazoa; Chordata; Mammalia; Primates; Hominidae.